GUAGAUAUUAGGAGGAACACCAGUGGGCGAAGGCGACUUGCUGGACUGUAACUGACGCUGAGGUACGAAAAGCGUGGGGAGCGAACAGGAUUAGAUACCCUGGUAGUCCACGCCGUAAACGAUGAGUACUAGGUGUCGGGGGUCGAAUCUCGGUGCCGCAGUUAACACAUUAAGUAUUCCGCCUGGGGAGUACGGUCGCAAGACUGAAACUCAAAGGAAUUGACGGGGACCCGCACAAGCAGCGGAGCAUGUGGUUUAAUUCGAAGCAACGCGAAGAACCUUACCAAAUCUUGACAUCCUUUUGACCAUCAUUUAAUCAUGAUCUCUCUUCGGAGCAGAAGUGACAGGUGGUGCAUGGUUGUCGUCAGCUCGUGUCGUGAGAUGUUGGGUUAAGUCCCGCAACGAGCGCAACCCUUGUCUUUAGUUGUCAUCAGGUAAUGCUGGACCCUCUAAAGAGACUGCCGGUGAUAAACCGGAGGAAGGUGGGGAUGACGUCAAAUCAUCAUGCCCCUUAUGAUUUGGGCUACACACGUGCUACAAUGGUCGGUACAACAGGCAGCGAAAGGGUAACCUGGAGCGAAUCCUCUAAAGCCGAUCUCAGUUCGGAUUGUGGGCUGCAACUCGCCCACAUGAAGUUGGAGUUGCUAGUAAUCGUGAAUCAGAAUGUCGCGGUGAAUGCAUUCCCGGGUCUUGUACACACCGCCCGUCACACCAUGGAAGUUGGGGGCGCCCGAAGCCAGUGAUCCAACCGCAAGGAGGAAGCUGUCGAAGGUGAAACCAAUGACUAGGGUGAAGUCGUAACAAGGUAACCG
Molecule: ribosomal RNA, 812 nt
Filed under: uncultured bacterium
Lineage: Bacteria
Description: bacterial SSU rRNA
Rfam family: Bacterial small subunit ribosomal RNA
Source: RNAcentral